GUACUCGCUUCGGCGGUACAUGUACUAACAUUGGAAAGAUACAGAGAAGAUUAGCAUGGCUCCUGCGCAAGGAUGACACGCAAAAUAAAAUAAAAAAUAAAAAAAAAU
Small nuclear RNA from Schistocerca nitens (vagrant locust), 108 nucleotides. NCBI's taxonomy places the organism in Eukaryota, Metazoa, Arthropoda, Insecta, Orthoptera, Acrididae. The record is from RefSeq and is a predicted model, not a curated record.